GAACUCUGGUAUUGAUUGGUGCUUGCAUCAUGAUUUACAUUUGAGUGAGUGGCGAACUGGUGAGUAACACGUGGGAAACCUGCCCAGAAGCGGGGGAUAACACCUGGAAACAGAUGCUAAUACCGCAUAACAACUUGGACCGCAUGGUCCGAGUUUGAAAGAUGGCUUCGGCUAUCACUUUUGGAUGGUCCCGCGGCGUAUUAGCUAGAUGGUGGGGUAACGGCUCACCAUGGCAAUGAUACGUAGCCGACCUGAGAGGGUAAUCGGCCACAUUGGGACUGAGACACGGCCCAAACUCCUACGGGAGGCAGCAGUAGGGAAUCUUCCACAAUGGACGAAAGUCUGAUGGAGCAACGCCGCGUGAGUGAAGAAGGGUUUCGGCUCGUAAAACUCUGUUGUUAAAGAAGAACAUAUCUGAGAGUAACUGUUCAGGUAUUGACGGUAUUUAACCAGAAAGCCACGGCUAACUACGUGCCAGCAGCCGCGGUAAUACGUAGGUGGCAAGCGUUGUCCGGAUUUAUUGGGCGUAAAGCGAGCGCAGGCGGUUUUUUAAGUCUGAUGUGAAAGCCUUCGGCUCAACCGAAGAAGUGCAUCGGAAACUGGGAAACUUGAGUGCAGAAGAGGACAGUGGAACUCCAUGUGUAGCGGUGAAAUGCGUAGAUAUAUGGAAGAACACCAGUGGCGAAGGCGGCUGUCUGGUCUGUAACUGACGCUGAGGCUCGAAAGUAUGGGUAGCAAACAGGAUUAGAUACCCUGGUAGUCCAUACCGUAAACGAUGAAUGCUAAGUGUUGGAGGGUUUCCGCCCUUCAGUGCUGCAGCUAACGCAUUAAGCAUUCCGCCUGGGGAGUACGGCCGCAAGGCUGAAACUCAAAGGAAUUGACGGGGGCCCGCACAAGCGGUGGAGCAUGUGGUUUAAUUCGAAGCUACGCGAAGAACCUUACCAGGUCUUGACAUACUAUGCAAAUCUAAGAGAUUAGACGUUCCCUUCGGGGACAUGGAUACAGGUGGUGCAUGGUUGUCGUCAGCUCGUGUCGUGAGAUGUUGGGUUAAGUCCCGCAACGAGCGCAACCCUUAUUAUCAGUUGCCAGCAUUAAGUUGGGCACUCUGGUGAGACUGCCGGUGACAAACCGGAGGAAGGUGGGGAUGACGUCAAAUCAUCAUGCCCCUUAUGACCUGGGCUACACACGUGCUACAAUGGAUGGUACAACGAGUUGCGAACUCGCGAGAGUAAGCUAAUCUCUUAAAGCCAUUCUCAGUUCGGAUUGUAGGCUGCAACUCGCCUACAUGAAGUCGGAAUCGCUAGUAAUCGCGGAUCAGCAUGCCGCGGUGAAUACGUUCCCGGGCCUUGUACACACCGCCCGUCACACCAUGAGAGUUUGUAACACCCAAAGU
RNAcentral lists this ribosomal RNA (1393 nucleotides) under Lactiplantibacillus plantarum. Its description in RNAcentral is "bacterial SSU rRNA". It matches the Rfam family "Bacterial small subunit ribosomal RNA", at positions 64 to 1427 of the family's 1533-position model. The record is from RNAcentral. Lineage: Bacteria; Bacillati; Bacillota; Bacilli; Lactobacillales; Lactobacillaceae.